AUUUAAGUAGUUUAAAAAUAAAAUUUUGAUUUGUGAUAUCAAGAAUGUAAGUAUUUACCUUAAAUU
Molecule: transfer RNA, 66 nt
Filed under: Hydroporus despectus
Lineage: Eukaryota; Metazoa; Arthropoda; Insecta; Coleoptera; Dytiscidae
Description: tRNA-His
Source: RNAcentral